GGCCCCGCCCAGAGGCAGCUCCCCUCAGAGCGGGCAGCGCUCUCUUGAGGCCGUGGACUGCACGGUAUAACGCGCAGCCCUUAUUUGUUACGGUCUCUAACAGGCGGGCAUAGGGGUCUGCUUCACCGAAGAGCGGGGCCUCGGGCGGGGCUGUUGCAGUAGCCGGCCCCGUCGCGGCCCUCCCCGCGCCUCUUCAGAGGUGCCUGUGGGCCGUUGCCAGAGGGCCGGGGAAAGCGUCUGGAAUUGAAAAAGCGCGCCUCAGACAUUCCGGGUCCCCAGCCUUCAAGGUGUUUGCAGCUCUGCACUAAGGAAGGACUGGAAGGACUGGAAGUGCACUGUGCCAGCAGCAGCAGACUGUUCAUCAUCACCGGAGUUGUGGUGAAUGGAGUUAAAUCCAGUUGGUGGCCAGUCACAAGCGGUGUUCCCUGGGGCUCAGUAUUGGCGCCUCUUCCAUUGAGUGUCUUUAUCAAUGAUCUGGACAAGGGGAUCGAGUGCACCCCUGGUAAGUUUGCAGGCAACACCAAGUUGGGUGGGAGUGUUGAUCUGCUUGAGGGUAGGAUGGUUGUACAUAGGGAUCUGGACAGGCUGGAUUGAUAGGUCAAGACCGAUGGGAUGAGGUUCAACAAGGCCAAGUGCUGGGUCCUGCACUUGGGUCACAACAACCCCCUGCAGCGCUACAGGCUGGG
Molecule: long non-coding RNA, 686 nt
Filed under: Calidris pygmaea (Spoon-billed sandpiper)
Lineage: Eukaryota; Metazoa; Chordata; Aves; Charadriiformes; Scolopacidae
Description: lncRNA (ENSCPGG00000017121.1)
Source: RNAcentral